CCCUUAGAUGUUCUGGGCCGCACGCGUGCUACACUGAGUGGAUCAGCGGGUCAGGUUGCGCGAAAGCGUUUCCUAAUCUUUAAAUCCGCUCGUGAUGGGGAUUGACGGUUGCAAUUUUCUGUCAUGAACGAGGAAUACCUUGUAAGCGCGGGUCAUCAUCACGCGCCGAAUACGUCCCUGCCCUUUGUACACACCGCCCGUCGCUCCUACCGAUUGAGUGAUCCGGUGAGGCUCUGGGACCUGGACGGAAAGAGCGUUUCGCUUGUUCUGUUUGGGAAACUUGGUCGAACCUUAUCAUUUAGAGGAAGGAGAAGUCGUAACA
This 322-nucleotide ribosomal RNA is filed under the name uncultured eukaryote. Its description in RNAcentral is "partial 18S ribosomal RNA". It matches the Rfam family "Eukaryotic small subunit ribosomal RNA", at positions 1470 to 1796 of the family's 1831-position model. The record is from RNAcentral.